AACGAACGCUGGCGGCAGGCUUAACACAUGCAAGUCGAGCGCGCAGUUUACUUCGAGCGGCAGACGGGUGAGUAACGCGUGGGAAUCUACCCAGAACUACGGAAUAACAUGAAGAAAUUUGUGCUAAUACCGUAUACGCCCUUCGGGGGAAAGGUUUAUUGGUUUUGGAUGAGCCCGCGUUGGAUUAGCUAGUUGGUAGGGUAAUGGCCUACCAAGGCGACGAUCCAUAGCUGGUCUGAGAGGAUGCGCAGCCACACUGGGACUGAGACACGGCCCAGACUCCUAAGGGAGGCAGCAGUGGGGAAUAUUGGACAAUGGGCGCAAGCCUGAUCCAGCCAUGCCUCGUGAGUGAUGAAGGCCUUAGGGUUGUAAAGCUCUUUCACCGGUGAAGAUAAUGACGGUAACCGGAGAAGAAGCCCCGGCUAACUUCGUGCCAGCAGCCGCGGUAA
RNAcentral lists this ribosomal RNA (449 nucleotides) under uncultured bacterium. Its description in RNAcentral is "partial 16S ribosomal RNA". It matches the Rfam family "Bacterial small subunit ribosomal RNA", at positions 29 to 523 of the family's 1533-position model. The record is from RNAcentral.